CCCCUGUUAGUCUAGUGGUUAGGAUGCAGCGCUCUCACCGCUGCGCCCCGGGGUUCGAUUCCCAGUCAGGGAA
Molecule: non-coding RNA, 73 nt
Organism: Manacus vitellinus (golden-collared manakin)
Lineage: Eukaryota; Metazoa; Chordata; Aves; Passeriformes; Pipridae
Source: Rfam